CGGGACGGGGUGGAGUAAUGUAUGGGGAUCUGCCUGAUGGGGGGGGAGUAACUACUGGAAACGGUAGCUAAUACCGCAUAAUGUCUACGGACCAAAGCGGGGGACCGUCCGGGCCUCGCGCCAUCAGAUGAACCCAUAUGGGAUUAGCUUGUAGGUAAGGUAACGGCUUACCUAGGCGACGAUCCCUAGCUGGUCUGAGAGGAUGAUCAGCCACACUGGGACUGAGACACGGCCCAG
Molecule: ribosomal RNA, 237 nt
Filed under: uncultured bacterium
Lineage: Bacteria
Description: partial 16S ribosomal RNA
Rfam family: Bacterial small subunit ribosomal RNA
Source: RNAcentral